AUUGACAAAUGAAGGCGACCGAGGUUACCUUGGUGAACAAGAAAACAGUUAGGGUCAGUUAGAGAGAAGAAGCUCAAGAACUCAGAAGUAGCAAGCUACAUCAUCUUUUUGUUGAUUCAUCUAUUGUGUCUCAAUCAAUUUGAAUAAAUUACUGCACUACACGAAUACUUUCUUCCAUAUUCUCUAAAGUGUCACUGGGUGUCAGUUGCUAGCGGAACAACCACGUGUGGUUGGUUAAUUUUCUAGGUUUUUCUUCGUCAUCCCCUGUGAUGCUGAUUGAAUAACGUGUGCUAUAUUUGUCCUGGUGACGUUUAAAACUGAGGAAAAUCAAAGACCACGUGUUGGUGCAUAAAACUUUAGUGUCUAAGAGUAGUGAUUUCUUCGAAGCCACUUCAUCUGAAAAACUUAUAACACCCUAAAUUAAGAAUAUGGAGGGAUUCAACGUGACGAUGGCAAUGACUAACUGUUUAAUUAAAGGUUUAAAAAAAUAAUUUCUAGACGCGAUGCUGUUUUUGCAAUUUAUGCAAGGUACGAGAUGAAUUAUUGAAGUCAUGAACGAUGGAACAAAGGAAAUUUCCAGAAUGUUUUAGUUUACUCAUGACAUAUGAGUGAUCAAAGAGAAUCUGAUGUGAAAGAGGUGAAACCAAAGGUCAGUAGAUUAGAAACUUUGAGUUUGAUUAGUUUGAAGUAUAUUUAAUGUUAACACAGUCUGUCAUAAAAAUUAGGUGACUGAUGUUAGAUAAGUAUUUUGUGUUUAAUAUUAUUCCAAGUACACUCCAUUAUUUAUACAAGAUUGGAAUCGUCUGUAAAACAAUUUAAAACAAAGUUGAAUUCAUUGUUUGGGGCCUUUUCUAGGACCCAUGUUCCCGUAUUUUGAAUCUCUUUUAUAGCCAGAAGUUUGUUGGUAGUAAAUCUAGCGAAUAUGGAGUGUGUUGUAAAACAAGGCUCUUUUUGGGACAUUCUGGGUCUAACAUAGAUAAUUAUCUUCAGCAAUCUGUCCUGGACCUCAAAUAACACUGACCUACAAUCGUUUGACCUUGAUGAAGUGGGAAAAAUGGAUUAAGUAUAAACACUUAGAAGGUUUAAAUUUCGUGAAUCAAAUAUUUAUAUAACUACUUAGUUCAGUUU
Molecule: long non-coding RNA, 1128 nt
Organism: Aethina tumida (small hive beetle)
Lineage: Eukaryota; Metazoa; Arthropoda; Insecta; Coleoptera; Nitidulidae
Exons: 4
Source: RefSeq, a predicted model, not a curated record